UACGGAGGGUGCAAGCGUUGUCCGGAAUCACUGGGCGUAAAGGGAGCGUAGGCGGCUCAUGAAGGCUGUGGUGAAAGUCCGGGGCUCAACCUCGGAUCGGCCGUGGCGACUCGUGGGCUGGAGCACUGUAGAGGCGGGUGGAAUUCCGGGUGUAGCGGUGGAAUGCGUAGAGAUCCGGAAGAACACCGGUGGCGAAGGCGGUCUGCUGGGCCAACACUGACGCUGAGGCGCGACAGCGUGGGGAGCAAACAGG
This 253-nucleotide ribosomal RNA is filed under the name uncultured bacterium. Its description in RNAcentral is "partial 16S ribosomal RNA". It matches the Rfam family "Bacterial small subunit ribosomal RNA", at positions 524 to 776 of the family's 1533-position model. The record is from RNAcentral.